AGCGUAGACGGAGUGGCAAGUCUGAUGUGAAAACCCCGGGGGCUCAACCCCGGGACUGCAUUGGAAACUGUCAAUCUAGAGUACCGGAGAGGUAAGCGGAAUUCCUAGUGUAGCGGUGAAAUGCGUAGAUAUUAGGAGGAACACCAGUGGCGAAGGCGGCUUACUGGACGGUAACUGACGUUGAGGCUCGAAAGCGUGGGGAGCAAACA
This 209-nucleotide ribosomal RNA is filed under the name uncultured bacterium. RNAcentral describes it as "partial 16S ribosomal RNA". It matches the Rfam family "Bacterial small subunit ribosomal RNA", at positions 568 to 774 of the family's 1533-position model. The record is from RNAcentral.